UCCGGUAUAGUGUAACGGUUAACAUACCUCGUUUUCACCGAGGAGCUCGGGGUUCGAUUCCCCGUACCGGAG
Molecule: transfer RNA, 72 nt
Filed under: Hypoxylon fragiforme
Lineage: Eukaryota; Fungi; Ascomycota; Sordariomycetes; Xylariales; Hypoxylaceae
Also listed under: 2 other names
Description: tRNA-Glu
Rfam family: tRNA
About the family: Transfer RNA (tRNA) molecules are approximately 80 nucleotides in length. Their secondary structure includes four short double-helical elements and three loops (D, anti-codon, and T loops). Further hydrogen bonds mediate the characteristic L-shaped molecular structure. tRNAs have two regions of fundamental functional importance: the anti-codon, which is responsible for specific mRNA codon recognition, and the 3' end, to which the tRNAs corresponding amino acid is attached (by aminoacyl-tRNA synthetases). tRNAs cope with the degeneracy of the genetic code in two manners: having more than one tRNA (with a specific anti-codon) for a particular amino acid; and 'wobble' base-pairing, i.e. permitting non-standard base-pairing at the 3rd anti-codon position.
Source: RNAcentral